GAUGAACGCUGACAGAAUGCUUAACACAUGCAAGUCGAUGGGGAAGUGGUGCUUGCACCAUGGCAACCAUGGCGGACGGGUGAGUAACGCGUAAGGGACUUACCUGCAGGACUGGGAUAACAGGGGGAAACUCCUGACAAGACCGGAUAAUGUCAUGGAGCUGCAUGGCUUUAUGAUGAAAGGAGACGCCUGCGGAGAGCCUUGCGUCCUAUUAGCUAGUUGGUGAGGUAAUGGCUCACCAAGUCGAAGAUAGGUAGCCGGCCUGAGAGGGUGGACGGCCACAAGGGGACUGAGAUACGGCCCUUACUCCUACGGGAGGCAGCAGUGGGGAAUAUUGGACAAUGGGGGCAACCCUGCUCCAGCAAUUCUGUGUGCACGAAGAAGGUUUUCGGAUUGUAAAGUGCUUUCAGCAGGGAAGAAGUAAGUGACGGUACCUGCAGAAGAAGCGACGGCUAAAUACGUG
Molecule: ribosomal RNA, 463 nt
Filed under: uncultured bacterium
Lineage: Bacteria
Description: partial 16S ribosomal RNA
Rfam family: Bacterial small subunit ribosomal RNA
Source: RNAcentral